UGGCGGCGUGCUAAACACAUGCAAGUCGAACGAUUAAGACGGCUUCGGCCGCGUAUAGAGUGGCGAACGGGUGAGUAACACGUGACCAACCUGCCCCGCGCUCCGGGACAACCGCUGGAAACGGCGGCUAAUACCGGAUGCUCCGGGGAGGCCCCAUGGCCUCCCUGGGAAAGCCUUAACGGCGCGGGAUGGGGUCGCGGCCCAUUAGGUAGACGGCGGGGUAACGGCCCACCGUGCCCGCGAUGGGUAGCCGGACUGAGAGGUCGACCGGCCACAUUGGGACUGAGAUACGGCCCAGACUCCUACGGGAGGCAGCAGUGGGGAAUUUUGCGCAAUGGGGGAAACCCUGACGCAGCAACGCCGCGUGCGGGACGAAGGCCUUCGGGUUGUAAACCGCUUUCAGCAGGGAAGACAUAGACGGUACCUGCAGAAGAAGCUCCGGCUAACUACGUGCCAGCAGCCGCGGUAAUACGUAGGGGGCGAGCGUUAUCCGGAUUCAUUGGGCGUAAAGCGCGCGUAGGCGGCCGCCUAAGCGGAACCUCUAAUCCCGGGGCUCAACCUCGGGCCGGGUUCCGGACUGGGCGGCUCGAGUGCGGUAGAGGCAGGCGGAAUUCCCGGUGUAGCGGUGGAAUGCGCAGAUAUCGGGAAGAACACCGAUGGCGAAGGCAGCCUGCUGGGCCGCCACUGACGCUGAGGCGCGAAAGCUGGGGGAGCGAACAGGAUUAGAUACCCUGGUAGUCCCAGCCGUAAACGAUGGACCGCUAGGUGUGGGGGGGACCAUCCCCCCCGUGCCGCAGCCAACGCAUUAAGCGUCCCGCCUGGGGAGUACGGCCGCAAGGCUAAAAACUCAAAGGAAUUGACGGGGGCCCGCACAAGCAGCGGAGCAUGUGGCUUAAUUCGAAGCAACGCGAAGAACCUUACCAGGGCUUGACAUGCGAGUGAAGCCGCGGAGACGCGGUGGCCGAGAGGAACUCGCGCAGGUGGUGCAUGGCUGUCGUCAGCUCGUGUCGUGAGAUGUUGGGUUAAGUCCCGCAACGAGCGCAACCCCCGUCCCGUGUUGCCAGCAUUGAGUUGGGGACUCGCGGGAGACUGCCGGCGUCAAGCCGGAGGAAGGUGGGGACGACGUCAAGUCAUCAUGCCCCUUAUGCCUUGGGCUGCACACGUGCUACAAUGGCCGGUACAGAGGGUUGCCACCCCGCGAGGGGGAGCGGAUCCCGGAAAGCCGGCCCCAGUUCGGAUCGCAGGCUGCAACCCGCCUGCGUGAAGUCGGAGUUGCUAGUAAUCGCGGAUCAGCAUGCCGCGGUGAAUACGUUCCCGGGCCUUGCACA
Molecule: ribosomal RNA, 1328 nt
Filed under: uncultured bacterium
Lineage: Bacteria
Description: 16S ribosomal RNA
Rfam family: Bacterial small subunit ribosomal RNA
Source: RNAcentral